GGCUCAGAAUGAACGCUGGCGGCAUGCCUAACACAUGCAAGUCGAACGAGACCUUCGGGUCUAGUGGCGCACGGGUGCGUAACGCGUGGGAAUCUGCCCCUCGGUUCGGAAUAACAGUUGGAAACGACUGCUAAUACCGGAUGAUGACGAAAGUCCAAAGAUUUAUCGCCGAGGGAUGAGCCCGCGUAGGAUUAGCUAGUUGGUGUGGUAAAAGCGCACCAAGGCGACGAUCCUUAGCUGGUCUGAGAGGAUGAUCAGCCACACUGGGACUGAGACACGGCCCAGACUCCUACGGGAGGCAGCAGUGGGGAAUAUUGGACAAUGGGCGAAAGCCUGAUCCAGCAAUGCCGCGUGAGUGAUGAAGGCCUUAGGGUUGUAAAGCUCUUUUACCCGGGAAGAUAAUGACUUACCGGAG
RNAcentral lists this ribosomal RNA (415 nucleotides) under Sphingomonas sp. RNAcentral describes it as "bacterial SSU rRNA". It matches the Rfam family "Bacterial small subunit ribosomal RNA", at positions 21 to 464 of the family's 1533-position model. Lineage: Bacteria; Pseudomonadati; Pseudomonadota; Alphaproteobacteria; Sphingomonadales; Sphingomonadaceae. The record is from RNAcentral.